AUGACGAUUCUAUGCUGGAACUGCCGGGGCCUUGGGCAGCCCCGGACAGUUCAGGAACUUGUGUGUUUGGUGCACACAUACAAGCCAAAGUUGGUGUUCCUUUCCGCAACUCGGCAAAGCAAUUCUUACAUGAAUAAACUGAAAUGGAGGCUACUCAAGCACUGUAUUACGCAGCCGGGCACCGGGAAGGGUGCGGGCAUUGUGCUCUUUUAUGAUGAGAGCAUUGAGUUAAUAAAGCUUACCGUUGGGCUGAGGUAUAUUGAUAUUCUUGUGCGUCUAAAUUCUACCAGUUUACAAUGGAGAGAUACGUUUGUCUAUGGUGAACCGAAAGCCCAUGAGAGGCAUCAUGUGUGGAACCUACUUAGGAGGAUUAAGGAUGUUUCUAAAGUCCCUUGGUUGAUGAUUGGGGACUUCAACAAAGUUAUGUGUCAAUCUGAGCACAUCUCAACCUCGAAAAGAUCUGAAAGGCAAAUAAAAAAUUUCUGUGAAGUGCUCUCAGACUGUAAUCUUUUUAACCUUGGCUUUAAGGGUCCAAUAUGGACUUCCAGUAAUAAACGAGAUGGUCAGAAAAAUGUUCACACAAGGCUUGAUAGAGGGGUGGCAUCCCCGGGCUAG
RNAcentral lists this ribosomal RNA (615 nucleotides) under Triticum aestivum (bread wheat). RNAcentral's name for it is "partial small subunit ribosomal RNA". The record is from RNAcentral. Lineage: Eukaryota; Viridiplantae; Streptophyta; Magnoliopsida; Poales; Poaceae.